This is a long non-coding RNA of Sapajus apella (tufted capuchin), 2076 nucleotides long. RefSeq lists it as uncharacterized. The transcript is spliced from 3 exons. The record is from RefSeq and is a predicted model, not a curated record. NCBI's taxonomy places the organism in Eukaryota, Metazoa, Chordata, Mammalia, Primates, Cebidae.
GGCUGGUACUGUGAGCUGAGUGCAGCCUGCCAGGUUGAGUGAGUGGAACAAGCCCAGUGGGCCCAAGCAAAAUUCAGGCAAAGGUGCCACUUGCUGCAAAGGUUUUAGGCCAAAAAAGUGACACCCCAAGGAUCCUGUGACAUUUGCAUAUAAUCAAGUGUUAUUGUAGUAUCUUGGCAAUAUAUUGUAGUUUACUUCAAAAAGGCCCUUCAUGUCUCCUGUAAGAUGUAGUUUUGGGUGCUUUACAUUAUCCCAGCUAUUAUCCCUUCAAAGAUUUCCAUUACUCUUCAUUUAUUUUCCAUGUUGCUUAGCUGUUCUUUUUUUUAAACAUUUUUUUAACUGUUCUUCAUUGCACAUCCAGUCUAGAGUUAAUCCUAUCUGGACUGUUUUUAUUUAUUUAAAUGGCCAAAUAUUUUCUUUCCAAAAUUUCUAAUUAUAUCUGUCCUAUAUCUAUGUGUUGUUUUAUAGCUGUUUUGCUUCAUAAUUUCAGGGUAUUUUUAAAUGAGUGUGCCUUAAUUAAUUUUUCUGCGUAUCCUAAAUAUUCUUAUUUUAAAAUAUUUGUCAGUCUGGUUAAUAAAAUUAAUUCUUUCAUAAUAAAUUCGUGUAGUGCUUUUCGCCGUCUUUCUUAGCAUUGUGUGCAUUAAUUCGUUUUCUAGCUUUUGUUCACAGGCUCAUUUUGUUGCUGCUGCUGUUUCUCUUUCUCCCAUAAUGUUUGCCCUCCCUGGUUAGUGGUUAUGUCCACCAAGUUCUGGGGCCACCAGUCCACCAAGUUCUGGAGCCUCUGAUCCAGAAUAAGGUCUUCACAGGCAACUUGAGCUCCUGUCCCGUGAUGAUAUUAUCACUGAUCCAAUCAUUGCACCAGGGUUUAGUGGGAGUUGAGGGGCUGUGGUGAUUCCUUGUCACCAGACUGUGUCUAUCUCCUCUACCUUUCCGAGAGCCACAGCCUCUCAGCAGCUGGGGCCCAGGCAGCAGUGAGCAGCAGGCUUUGCUCAGCUUCCUUCACAAGACUGGUUCCUUCUUUGCCUGCCCUGGACAGCAGAGCACACCCAGUUCCUGCCUCCUGUAGGAGCCUGCCUGCAGCCUGAGAGCCUGGUGGGCUCAAGGCUGAAGCCCUCCCCUGUCAUUGUGUUCUAUUCCAAUUCUGAUUUGCAACUCUUUCUUCAUUUGCCAGAGGACCAUGGUUUCUUCUAUUUAUAUUUUUAAUCUUUCACUGGCAUAUGUCAGAGCAGCGGAUAUAUGUUACAGUGUGAUCAUAUUCUGCCAUCUCAACUCAUCCUCAAAUUUGAUAAAAAAAAUUAAUUUUCAAAGUUAUGCAGUGUUAUCCUAACAUUUUCUUAUAAAACAGGGCAAUUGUGUUCCUUUCAGCCCCCUGCUCUCGUCUCUCUUUACCAGAUCAUAGAAUUAAGGGUGACAUUCUUUCAGUAAAUCAUAUCAUGAUACACCAGCUGAAAGAUUAAUUCAAGAAAGAUGAUUAGAAAGAGACAUCUGAAUAGUUUAUCUGAGCCAUAAGGUAUGGACAUCAGUGACAGAAUUUAAAUAGCUGAAAUGAAUUCUUUUUUUUUUUUUUUCCUUGUCUUAACAAAUUAGCAUCAAAAUGUUUUUUACCAGUUUAGGUAAGGUGGUGUCAGAAAAUCUGACUGUUUUGCUGGUCAUAAAUUAUCACUGUGUUCAUGUGCUGACCGAAAUAAUAUUUUCUGUUAAUAGAAUACCAAGUGUGUGUUUUGGAACAAGAAUGAUAAUGUGGUAUUGUUCUGGGAUAUACCAUACUUUGUAACUUUUUCCAACAAUUUGUCAGCAGUCUAAGUAAAUAAGAAAUUUUACCUUCUGUUUAGUAAACUGUCUAUGUUCAUUACUUCAAGCUUAUAGAAAAACAAUGGUAAUCAACCUUGAAUUGAUAUGUCCUUUAGAAUUAGGGUUAUGUCUCCAAAAAUGCCAUAGUAAACUUUAGUUAGUGGCCGUACUUUCCAGUGUUCUGCUGAGUUGAUAUUAGCCAGUAUCUCAUCAUCAGCUUUCCAUCCAACCUCAAACAAUGCCAGGGAAACAGCCUCCCCCAGAUUAAAAAGAUAGCAUUUACAU